CAAAGCGGAGCUUGAUAAGUUAAGCAUCUCACUUACGUUGAGAAGUUCGUUGUGCAAAUCAAUGCGCUUUGA
Molecule: transfer RNA, 72 nt
Filed under: Aristeus virilis
Lineage: Eukaryota; Metazoa; Arthropoda; Malacostraca; Decapoda; Aristeidae
Description: tRNA-Val
Rfam family: tRNA
About the family: Transfer RNA (tRNA) molecules are approximately 80 nucleotides in length. Their secondary structure includes four short double-helical elements and three loops (D, anti-codon, and T loops).
Source: RNAcentral